UACGUAGGGUGCAAGCGUUGUCCGGAAUUAUUGGGCGUAAAGAGCUCGUAGGCGGCUCGUCACGUCGGCUGUGAAAACCCGGGGCUCAACCCCGGGCCUGCAGUCGAUACGGGCGAGCUAGAGUUCGGCAGGGGAGACUGGAAUUCCUGGUGUAGCGGUGAAAUGCGCAGAUAUCAGGAGGAACACCAAUGGCGAAGGCAGCUCGCUGGGACGGUACUGACGCUGAGGCGCGAAAGCGUGGGGAGCAAACAGG
This 253-nucleotide ribosomal RNA is filed under the name uncultured bacterium. RNAcentral's name for it is "partial 16S ribosomal RNA". It matches the Rfam family "Bacterial small subunit ribosomal RNA", at positions 524 to 776 of the family's 1533-position model. The record is from RNAcentral.